GGUUUCCUCCUAAUUAAUUAGAAAAAUUAUAUUUUUUAAUAAUUAUAAUAAUCAAAUAUUUUAAAGCUUAAAAUAAGGCCAGCCAUUGCACGAUCUUUGUUUGCAGGGUUGGACUGAAAUAAAUAUGUGUUAAAAGUUCAUAAAAAUAAAUAAAUAAAGGCAAAAAGGAAUAAAAUCUCAGCAGAAUUGCAACUAUUUUGGAAAUUCAUCAAAUCUGAUUUUGUAAAAAUCUCAGCAGAAUUGCAACAAUUUAUAUAUAUAAAAUAGAGGGUAAAAACCAAUCAUUUAACAAUUUUAUUUGCAACAAAUUAACAAUUUAUUUACCGACUGAAGCAUUUAAAAGUUUUUGACAAAUUAAAAUAUAGGGAGUAAUUUCUAGAUUUUCAUAAAGUAGAAGGGUGCAAUUCAAAAAUUAGACCAAUUUGUUUCUUUGUUCCAAAAAUUCAGAAAGUAAAUAUGAAUAUACACAUUUAAUUAAUGCGUUGUAUAUGAAUAUACACUAGUGCAAGCAAUCCUAUAAUUUCGUACAGGUCUCGUAAUUGCUCGAUUAAAAUUUUCGAACCACCUCAACUUAAGAAAUUCGAUCCCAAAUUCAAAAUUUUCAAUACCAAUAAAAAUCAACUGAUUACAUCACCACUUGCAAAAUAUAACUAUAAAAACAUUACUAUGGAGAAAGCCAUAAAAAAAACAGUCCAAUUUACUAGAAUUGCAAUCUAAAAAAACCUCUUGAAUUGCAACUAAAUGAUACCUCUUCAAUUGCAACUAGAGCUUCAGCUUGCCAAUGAUUUAUGUCUGGAGCAAAUCGGUAGCCAACAGUCCAAUGCCUACAAAAGUUCACAUUGAACAUCAAUCUACUGGAACAACAGUGGUCAGAUACACCAGGCGCAAGAAAUUUAACAAGGGUGCUGAUAUACAAAAGAAUUUACACUUCUAAGCAUUCAGAAAUCAAAUUAAAAUCAAUUAGUAUUAAAAUAAUUAUCACAAUAUUUUUUGUCAAUUAAAGUAGCACAAUCGUUAACUGUCAGCCUCCUGGUCACUAAAGGAACACCAAGGUACCUAAUAGGCAGCCUUCCCAUGUUAACCCCAGUAAUUCUAAGAAUAUCCUCCAUUUCCUCUCAAGAAUCCCAAAAGCAAAAAAUUUCAGUCUUUGCAGGGUUAGGCUUUAAACCAGAAAAACAAAUUUAGAAUCACAUCAGGUAAGUGCUUGGUAAGUCAUUUAACCAAAAUCCUACUGAUACACUCACAAAAAAGCAGAGCAGUAUGAGAUUGGCCGAAACUCCCUCAUACACUAUUUUUAACCUUGGGAACUAAUACAAUUGUGGUUGUAUUAAAAGCAGGCAACAACUUAGAGUAAUUAAAAAAACACCACUGCUCUAAUCACAUCAGCGCCUACGAUAUGCCAUGCAACUUUGAAAAAAUCCCAGGCCAAUGUUUGCAUAGUUGGGUGUUGUGAAGGUUCCGGCAAUGCGGUUAGAUGCAAAACUCCACAUGCUGAUAGAAUGAACAUAGAUGAUUACAUAGACAACAUCAUUCUUGUAGCAGACACAGAACCUAAAUAAUUACAACAUGUCAUAUAAAACAGCGCAGUUACCAAAAGGCAACCUAGGCACUUGAGGCAGACAUACUUCAGGAAGCAUUUCCAUGUUAAUGGUAUGCAGCUAAUGUUUGUUUACCAAUCUAGCAGUCCAUUCUGAAUUAACCCUACCAUUAAUACACAUGUAUUAAAAGUCAAAAGGGAGAAGAGUAAUAAGAUUUGCUCAUGUAUAUAUUACACACUAAAACCAUGUCGGAUAUAUGCUUAUAUCAAAACACUCACACAAUUUAACAUAGAAGAAGGUUAAUUGACAUAAAUAGAAUGUCCUAAAAACCCUCUGAUUGAUGCAAACUUACCUCUUUUCAACUUUCAAGGUAUUCCAAGCCAAGACAAGCUAAAAUAAGUUAUCAUACAAUUUCGUUUCAUAUCAAUGUUAUAAAUAAAUACCCUAUCCUUAAGAAUGACAAAGCAUCUUAAAUCAGAACAUAAUGAUUCUAAAACUGCUAUUGACAAUUUAUAUAUAAAAGAGCCAAAAUCACCUAGAAGUUGAAUCACUAGUAGAUAUAAGGAAGAAAAUGGAAGUACAUAGAAAAGAAAGUAGUAACAUAAAUCUCAGAAAGAAACAAAAAUUGAAACGAAAAGAAAAGGUCAACAAUUCGGAAACAAACCAGCAAUGAACUAAAAUUGGGGAGAAGAAGACGAAGAGCUCUCCUUGUCUCUUUUCUAUACGCUUUUAACUGUAUUUUCCUCGACUCUGGGAUUUUUUUAUUUGUCUGCUGAAAUUGAAAAAAAAAAGAUCAAGAAUCAAGCCCUAGUUUUCAGAAACCUUAGAUGCCAAUUUUAAACGAUUGUAAACAGAGGUUUAACUAAUUUGAUGAAUCAAGUCUUACUAAAACCUCAUUUUAAAGGUGAAUGCAUGAUUCAAUUUCAAGAAAUGUUGAAUCUCUCAUCAUAGACAUAAAAGGGAAAACACGUUGACAGAAAAAUGUUAGGGCAGACAAUGUUUACCUUGAUUGAAUUGGAAAGGUUUUCUUGAGGGUUUCUUUGGAGAUACUUGUUGGGAUUUGAAGAACAGAAGUCUGUUUUUGGACUUGCCUACUCACUGCAUUUGAAGAACAGAAGGGUGAGUUUGGUUCAACAAAACAAUCAAAUGAAAGUGAAAUGGGAGCGAUGGAGGUCACUUACCUUGCAGCUUCUGUUUGAUGUUGGGAGGGAGAGUUCUGGAGGUGGAUUUUGGCUUGGGAAGAUGAGGGUAAAACAGGGCAUAAAAAUUGUAAGAAUGCUAAACGGAAGUUAAUCUGAACUUUGGGCAGGGAAUAGAAAUCGGUAAGGAGGAAUACGUACGUAAUGGGCAUUACAGCGAACCAUAGGUGGGGCCCACCGAUUCGACGCGUAAUGGUAUACCCAUUACAUCGAACCAAACAGAGUGUUACUA
Molecule: long non-coding RNA, 2969 nt
Filed under: Gossypium barbadense (sea-island cotton)
Lineage: Eukaryota; Viridiplantae; Streptophyta; Magnoliopsida; Malvales; Malvaceae
Description: long non-coding RNA (GBAR_LNC022696)
Source: RNAcentral